Molecule: non-coding RNA, 1604 nt
Organism: Leptonychotes weddellii (Weddell seal)
Lineage: Eukaryota; Metazoa; Chordata; Mammalia; Carnivora; Phocidae
Source: RefSeq, a predicted model, not a curated record
GAGGAUGGGGAUGAAGUCACUGACAGUCGGAGUAGAGUCUAUGAAGUACCCACUCAGGGAGAUUUUUUUGAGAUAAGUGACAUCCCAUCGCUUUUGCUGUAUUCUGUUCGUUAGAAGCAAGUCACCAGGUCCAGGCCACGCUGAAGGGGAAGGGAUCACACAGGAGGCAAGAAUCAGUGAGAGCCAUUUCAGAAGCUGCCUGGGACACAGUGCCUCGUACAUAACACAGAGUGGACUUUUCACUUGGCUGGGGAGCUGUGCUGAAGAAACUGCCCGGGAGGCCAGACGGCAUGUCUGUGGUGGGUCGGAUCUCUCAGUGUGAGAGGAGAAGAGGACAAAGCUGACUGGAUGGUGGACGAUAGUUGCCCUUGUAUGGAGGCUGGCUGUAGAAGGAAGAGAACAGUGCUGGGGAGUUCUGCAAGCUGAUUUAUUACUGGACCCAUUUCAGUAGACUGUGACACUUCGGCGACCUGCAAAUUCUACACAUUAGAGUUCAUAUUUUACACAAAUGCCGGAUCCCCAAGCCGUGGACUCGCAUUCCUCCCGGCAACAUCCAACUCCCAGCAGAAGACAUAGACCCUGUCUGAGGAUGAAAGCUCCUAAUGAAGAUGCAUUACAGAUGAUAUUUAUGGUUAGCCCCCUAGGAAAACAAAAAUGAUUCAUGAAUAAUUUCAUGGAAGUCACACCAAAAAGAGAGUAAUAAUUUUCUCAAGUCCACGUUGUCCUUUGGUUCUCUGUGGGCCACUUCUAGUCCCACAAGUCACCACAGCUUCACUUCAAAAGGAUGAGGCAGGACAGGGGGAGAGGCUGUGUGUUAACCUGGCUUGGGAACUACCACGUAAUGAAAACCGCUCAGCACCCAUGAUUGAUUGUAUCCAGUCAAAGCAGAGCUUCUCUUCUUCAUGUGUUACUGGAAGGCUGAAGCCUACUCUUGGGCGGGCGGCCUGUGGUUCCUCUGGCAGAGGCAUCGUUAUAGAAGACACCCUCCCCCAGCAAAGGGAACCAUUGGUGACAGAGCAAGGCAGCCAAAUGAAGGGGCAGGAGCAUUGGUCUGCAUCUGGGCCACAGGAGCUAGGAGCAGCUGAGGAAUCAGGUGGGACGAUGGCAAGAGAGGUCAAGAUGGAGAACUCGGCCCGGCCGGGCCCCAGCUGAAGAGUGAAGAAAUACCGUUGGGCACAAGAAAGAAGCUAUGAGCACUCACUCGGGAUCCCAGGGACCCAGCAGGGCCACCGGUGCAAAGAAGGCGCUGACCACAAUUCUUUGGCAGGACUGAAUGAAUGGUUGUGUGAAUGAGUUCGCAGGGCAGACGGACCGAGACUGCCUCCCCACCAGCCACCCAGGCCCAGCAUGCUUGGAAGCUACGUUUCUUGAUGAGUGUUUUCCUGUUUUAUGAAUCUUUGUCUGUCUCUAGAAGCCCAUGUUCCCUUCUGGUAUCAGGGCACAUCUGGUUGUUGGUGCAUGUUGCUUCGUUAGAAACUCUUAAAACAGCAUGAAAUUGUUAGCACGUUGCUCCUGCCUGCCAAGCUGUUCUCGAGACUCAAGCUUUGGUGGAUUUGGUCUUCUGUUUGUUUUUUGUUUUCAUGCAGUUUAGAAAAUUGGUCUGU